Molecule: ribosomal RNA, 163 nt
Filed under: Hoya carnosa (porcelain flower)
Lineage: Eukaryota; Viridiplantae; Streptophyta; Magnoliopsida; Gentianales; Apocynaceae
Description: 5.8S ribosomal RNA
Rfam family: 5.8S ribosomal RNA
About the family: 5.8S ribosomal RNA (5.8S rRNA) is a component of the large subunit of the eukaryotic ribosome. It is transcribed by RNA polymerase I as part of the 45S precursor that also contains 18S and 28S rRNA.
Source: RNAcentral
AACAUUACACGACUCUCGGCAACGGAUAUCUAGGCUCUCGCAUCGAUGAAGAACGUAGCAAACUGCGAUACUUGGUGUGAAUUGCAGAAUCCCGUGAACCAUCGAGUCUUUGAACGCAAGUUGCGCCCGAAGCCAUUANGCCGAGGGCACGUCUGCCUGGGCG